GUGUCAGCAGCCGCGGUAAGACGGAGGAGGCUAGCGUUGUUCGGAAUUACUGGGCGUAAAGCGCACGCAGGCGGCGUGCCAAGUCGGAGGUGAAAUCCCGGGGCUCAACCCCGGAACGGCCUCCGAUACUGGCAUGCUGGAACGAGGGAGAGGAGAGCGGAAUUCCCAGUGUAGAGGUGAAAUUCGUAGAUAUUGGGAAGAACACCGGUGGCGAAGGCGGCUCUCUGGCCCUCUGUUGACGCUCAUGUGCGAAAGCGUGGGGAGCAAACAGGAUUAGAUACCCUUGUAGUCC
RNAcentral lists this ribosomal RNA (292 nucleotides) under uncultured bacterium. Its description in RNAcentral is "partial 16S ribosomal RNA". It matches the Rfam family "Bacterial small subunit ribosomal RNA", at positions 505 to 796 of the family's 1533-position model. The record is from RNAcentral.